CUGCAAUGAAAACUCAACAGCACAACACUGUCCUAUAUUUUCUCAUGGAUAUGUAAUAGUUACAAAGUAUUUUUUUUUCUUUUUUUCCCUAGUACUAGAUCACUGAAGAAGAGGAAGCAUUCAUGUUUACCCAUACUAAGCAGAAACAGGAUCAUCUGAAUUCACCAGCUGCAGGUGGCUUGAGAGAGUCUUUUAAGGUAAUCAAUGAAUUAGGAACAAACUUCAGUCCAGUCUCUUGGAGAAAGAGCCUGACUGAUUGUCAUCCCUCUUCCUACUAACAGUGGAUCUGUGGAAAUAAGAAAAAAUUCUAAGGGGGUGUUCAUUAAAAAAAAAUGAGAUUUUUUGGUGAUUGUUGUUUUAGAUGAUAAAUUCAAAAAUCUUCCUUUAGAGGCCUUCAGUGGCUCUAUUCUGCCUACUCCCCACUGACUGUGUUGGAUAUGCAAUAAGUUGCUGUAGAAGAACCGCC
RNAcentral lists this long non-coding RNA (466 nucleotides) under Anas platyrhynchos platyrhynchos (common mallard). RNAcentral's name for it is "lncRNA (ENSAPLG00000021327.1)". Lineage: Eukaryota; Metazoa; Chordata; Aves; Anseriformes; Anatidae. The record is from RNAcentral.